This 617-nucleotide unclassified non-coding RNA is filed under the name Hevea brasiliensis (rubber tree). Lineage: Eukaryota; Viridiplantae; Streptophyta; Magnoliopsida; Malpighiales; Euphorbiaceae. The record is from RNAcentral.
GACAAAGCGCGGAACUGGAGACAUCAUUAAAGUAUUAGUGGAAAGUUAUUUGCAAAACAUAUGUUUUCAUUGAACAAAAUGCUUGGCCUCAAUAGUGUCUUGUAAGAGUUACAAUAUUUUAAUAUGCACUGAGAGCAUCCACAUACACACGCACAUAGAACCAAAAGGUAGAUUGCCAAACAGCCUCACAAAAGAUAGCACAGCUGCAAUUUAACUCAGUUCCAAACCUGAUAAUUGUUCGGUUAUCUGUAUGGUUUUAUACUCAUUUCCAACAGAAUCUGCCAAUCUGGCUCAAUGAUAUGCAAUAAGUCAACACACAUAUGCACACUAGCUAUGAAACUCUUCACUCAUAAUAAUAAUCUUUAUAAGACAGCCAUCUAGAAUGGGAUAUUGUUCAGUGCAAUGGAAAAAGUCCCAUACCAUCAAGUGUAAGUGCAGAGUUACAGAUCAUAGAACAGCAACUUCAAGCAAAAUAGCUAAAGGACAAGUCUAGAGCCAGAUCAGCCUCUCAAGACCUUUAGCCUAUGAGAAGAAAAUCAUUAACCACACCCUUGUUUCCAAUAUGGUUACAAUGCUGGAUCUAUAACAAAUGCCUGACAAUUACCAUCUCCUUGAAC